CCCUAAGAUGCUUGAGCACAGUGUCAUCGUC
RNAcentral lists this non-coding RNA (31 nucleotides) under Homo sapiens (human). The record is from RNAcentral. Lineage: Eukaryota; Metazoa; Chordata; Mammalia; Primates; Hominidae.